Molecule: RNA transcript, 1813 nt
Organism: Cottoperca gobio
Lineage: Eukaryota; Metazoa; Chordata; Actinopteri; Perciformes; Bovichtidae
Gene name: E3 ubiquitin-protein ligase arkadia
Exons: 12
Source: RefSeq, a predicted model, not a curated record
GUGAAACUGUAAGUUCCUGCUCUUAUUUUGAAAAGCACUUCCUGUUGUGAGUCCGGCUUCACCACAGAGCGUCUGGUACCAAACCGAAAGAAGGACGACACCAUUUAGGUAAAUUGUCCUCUGCAGCUGUAUGACAUGAGUGUGCAUCAGAGGUGAUUAUUGAGGCAGGAACCAGGUGUUGCAUCAGGAGACCAUGGAGGAGUCGUCUGAGCCGGACAGUCCUGCAGGUCUGAACCGAGGCUGCCUGCUCGACCCGACGGACGUCCUCUACCAUGAUCUCUCCAUCAUCGUCCAGAAACACCCAGCCCCCAGCUUGGCAAACGGAGGAGACUCAGCCGCAUCGCAGAGGAACAUUUCAGUCCUGUGUCCGUCGGCGGAUCUCCAGGACGACCUGAACUUUCACACAAAUCCAAACGCAGACGUCUGGCUGCAGCGAUGGGAGAGCAGAGCGUCGGCUUUGUUCCAGCUUCAUCUCUCAGGACUUUACCUCAGGUCAGCUGGCUGGAGUCCCCGCUGUCCACUGCGUCCUGCGCCUCCUUCUCCUCAUCGUCCUCCUCCUACCUCACACCAAUAUCAGAGGAGGAAGCAUUGGAAGACAUGGUCCACAGUCCUGCUUGUCUCAGCCGGAGGUUGAAGCACAGUCUGAUGCCGGCGAUGGCUUCAGCGUCCCCGCCGUCCUCAUCCGAGUCUCUGUCCUUCCUGACUGCAGAGGAGAGGCGGUGGCUGAACGGCGAGCGGGGAAACUCCUCUACAGCACCGGAGGAGAUCGUCAUCAGUGACGAUGAGGAGGCCGUGGUUCGCUCGGCUCAGCAGGAGGAAGACGAGACGUUGGCUCGAAGCCUGCAGGCCCAGUUUGACCGAGAGGAGUCACACAGCAGACACCAGCACCGUCACCACCAGCAGCUCCACCAUCAUCUUCAACAGCAGAGCCACCCCCGGUAUUAUCCCUACAUGGAGCCCGGCUGGAUGCCUCAUCUACUGGCUGCUGUCUCUCCUCUGGUCGGCUUUGAAGACGAUGUGAUUGGUCAACGCACGAGGCGAGAGCGGGGCAGGAGGAGGAACGGCCAGCCUGAACUCUCAGAAGACCUCCAGGGGAACGACUACGAGGCUCUGCUGGCGUUCGAGGAGCGUCAAGGAUCCGUUGUGUCCAAGAAGUUGAGUCGGAGGGAGAUCCAGAUGUUUCCCACCAAAACCUUCCAGUCUGCCAACAGCGCCGGCAACUCGCAGUGUCAGAUCUGUUUCUGUGACUACACUGAUGGCGAGAAGCUGAGGAUGUUGCCCUGUUUCCAUGACUACCACGUGCAGUGUAUCGACCGAUGGUUAAAGGAUAACACCACCUGCCCCAUCUGCAGAGCUAACCUGGCUGACGGCGCCGCCCUCGCCCCCCCGCACCUCUGAGGCGAACUGCUGGUGUUUGAGUUACUGUGUUUGUGAUGGAUGAAGGACAACUCGCUUGUUUUUGACGAUGAAUCUUCUCCGUCCCGCCGCUCGUUAGCCCUCGUAGUAGCGUUUCUUCAUGGCUCUGUACUUCCUCAGGUAGUAGAGCGCCUCCAGCUCUCGGGCCACGUACUCCCCCCGAGCGAUCAUCUCCUUGAUCUGCUCCGAGUCCUGCACGCUCUUGUUUUUCGUGAACGCCGCUCGCAGGCGGUCCCUGAAGUAGUCGCCGCCUUUAGGAUACUCCCGUCCGAGGUAGAGCAGCUGCGGAGCACACGGGAGGGGAACGCUUGUUUAUUAGUUUAUUAUUACACUCCGAUCUUUACUCUUCAUGUUUGGACCAGAACAUAAUAAAAACAUUUGAUUCAUUAGUUUUGGA